UUGUCACAUUCACCAUUCUUUAUUUGCUUACCUAAUUUGCUUUGCUUUACUAGACUUUUCACUUUGAGAAUCUGGUUGUUGUUGGUUUUUAAUGAGAGUGGCUGAGGUUCAUGAAGUAGGAGUGAAGAAACAGAACUGCUUUCACUAUCACUACCAUCACUUAAGCUAACUCUGCAACUUCAGCUGCUCUCUUUAUUUACAGCUCUCUCCGUUUCAAAGUCAUUGUCAUUAUCCUCUCCCUCAUAUGAUUCUUCCUCAUUGUCAUCGGAAUGCAGAUUUUUCAUUAUAGAUCUUAAAGGACCUUGUUGCCUGGUCUGGGACAGUGUGAAACUGGAACUGGAGCUGGAGCUGGAACUGGCAGGAUUGGGUUGUUUGGAAUCAGAUGUAGAGGAUAUAUUCUCCUCCAUGUCUGAAUCAUUGGGAUCAACAAUAUCAUCAAAUGGCGUCUGUGAUCCAGCAGGGACAGAAAGAUUAAGAGUACCAGAACGGGAUAGAAUGAGAGAUGCUGCAAAAUGGAAAUCAAGCAGUCAAGCUGCAAAGAGAGGAGCAGAUCUGACUUCAAAUGACAGGAAAUUCAGUCAAUUAAUAGUACACUGUAUCCAGAG
RNAcentral lists this long non-coding RNA (605 nucleotides) under Dasypus novemcinctus (nine-banded armadillo). RNAcentral's name for it is "lncRNA (ENSDNOG00000050897.1)". The record is from RNAcentral. Lineage: Eukaryota; Metazoa; Chordata; Mammalia; Cingulata; Dasypodidae.